AUUGAACGCUGGCGGCAUGCCUUACACAUGCAAGUCGAACGGCAGCACGGGAGCAAUCCUGGUGGCGAGUGGCGAACGGGUGAGUAAUAUAUCGGAACGUGCCCAGUCGUGGGGGAUAACGCAGCGAAAGCUGUGCUAAUACCGCAUACGAUCUACGGAUGAAAGCGGGGGAUCGCAAGACCUCGCGCGAUUGGAGCGGCCGAUAUCAGAUUAGCUAGUUGGUGAGGUAAAGGCUCACCAAGGCGACGAUCUGUAGCUGGUCUGAGAGGACGACAGCCACACUGGAACUGAGACACGGUCCAGACUCCUACGGGAGGCAGCAGUGGGGAAUUUUGGACAAUGGGCGAAAGCCUGAUCCAGCAAUGCCGCGUGCAGGAUGAAGGCCUUCGGGUUGUAAACUGCUUUUGUAUGGAACGAAACGGUGAGCUCUAAUACAGUUUGCUAAUGACGGUACCGUAAGAAUAAGCACCGGCUAACUACGUGCCAGCCGCCGCCGUAA
This 499-nucleotide ribosomal RNA is filed under the name uncultured bacterium. RNAcentral's name for it is "partial 16S ribosomal RNA". It matches the Rfam family "Bacterial small subunit ribosomal RNA", at positions 30 to 523 of the family's 1533-position model. The record is from RNAcentral.